Molecule: long non-coding RNA, 1241 nt
Organism: Octodon degus (degu)
Lineage: Eukaryota; Metazoa; Chordata; Mammalia; Rodentia; Octodontidae
Exons: 3
Source: RefSeq, a predicted model, not a curated record
UCCAUGCUGCCCCAGCUGUUCCUUCUAUGUGGGUCCUUCUCCCUCCAGAAUUCCCGAGGCUCCUUAUUUAGAUCUAAGCUGAGAAGUUACUUCAUUACAUCAUCCUACAUUAUAUUCUUCUCAGUAAGCACUACUGUGGGAAACUAUCUUGAUUAUGUGUUUGUGAACUUUGUUUCCCAUCUACCUCCUCACCAGAAUAUAAGCUGUUCUGGCUGUUCAGUCCAAGGCUGUAAUACCAGAGUCAAAAAUGGCCUGCCAGAUUUUGCUGAAUGAGUGUAAGUGAGUGAAAGGUGAUUCUGGGAGCCUGGAGUGGGACAAUCCCAGUCAGGCCACAGGAUCUUAGUGCAGGACUGCAUAUGCCAGAGGUCAGAAUACUGAGGUGCUGAGAAUGAAGGACUCUAGGAUUUCCUAGGGCUUGGCAUUGCAUUAAAGAGAGGGCGAACUAGGGCUGAAGAUGUCCCAGGUCCUAAAAACCAGCUGCACGUGGUGCAAGCUGCGUGCCGGGGGAGGGGACACCCUAUUCUGGGCACCCUCCCCGCCCGCCACUCGACUCCGCCCGCUCUCUCAGCUAGCCAAGCCUGCUGUUUAUCCUCGCGGGGACACAGCGGCUGCAGGAACAACAUGUAAUUGAUAACAAGCCCAGCGCUGGCCAAGGGCUUGCCAUUGGGUCAGCGUGCAAAUCACGGGGGUGGCGGGUGGGGGCUUUCCUUCAAAAUAAGAGUCUCCACUCCCUGCGCCACCCGCAGGCCCCAAAGUCGCCAAGUCUUUCCAUUCUCACACCUGUAGGGCAGCGGGGGUGCUCCUCACGGGCCACCCUGUCCUUGGGAGGGAAGAGAUUCCAAGGGCUCACCUUCGCGGGACCGCGGGAGAAAACAGCCCCCUGCCCUACGGAAGAGAGGCUUUCCACGGCUCAGCACGUUGAAGCAGCCAUGACAACGCAACCAAAGACACUCACAAAAAGGACUUUCAGAACUGCAUUAGAAAGUGUGAUGGAGAUGGAGUUCAGGACUUUGCACAUACUAAAUAUGUGUUCUUCUUCUGAGCUGCACCCCUAACCUCUAUCCUACUAUUUCAUAAAGAGAAAUCAGAAAAGCAGAAUUUGUGAGUCAAAGGGUAUUACAACUGGUAUUUGGGAGCAAGUUGCCCUCUAGAAGCUACUUAAUGUAGAUUGCUGCCAUCCAGGAGUCAUAGUGUUUGUUUCCCAUGUUUCUGUUAGCACUAGGACAAUAAACACAUUUUAU